GACGAACGCUGGCGGCGUGCCUAAUACAUGCAAGUUGAGCGCUGAAGGUUGGUACUUGUACCAACUGGAUGAGCAGCGAACGGGUGAGUAACGCGUGGGGAAUCUGCCUUUGAGCGGGGGACAACAUUUGGAAACGAAUGCUAAUACCGCAUAAAAACUUUAAACACAAGUUUUAAGUUUGAAAGAUGCAAUUGCAUCACUCAAAGAUGAUCCCGCGUUGUAUUAGCUAGUUGGUGAGGUAAAGGCUCACCAAGGCGAUGAUACAUAGCCGACCUGAGAGGGGGAUCGGCCACAAUGGGACUGAGACACGGCCCAAACUCCUACGGGAGGCAGCAGUAGGGAAUCUUCGGCAAUGGACGAAAGUCUGACCGAGCAACGCCGCGUGAGUGAAGAAGGUUUUCGGAUCGUAAAACUCUGUUGGUAGAGAAGAACGUUGGUGAGAGUGGAAAGCUCAUCAAGUGACGGUAACUACCCAGAAAGGGACGGCUAACUACGUG
This 497-nucleotide ribosomal RNA is filed under the name uncultured bacterium. RNAcentral describes it as "partial 16S ribosomal RNA". It matches the Rfam family "Bacterial small subunit ribosomal RNA", at positions 28 to 507 of the family's 1533-position model. The record is from RNAcentral.